Molecule: long non-coding RNA, 1063 nt
Organism: Alosa alosa (allis shad)
Lineage: Eukaryota; Metazoa; Chordata; Actinopteri; Clupeiformes; Clupeidae
Exons: 3
Source: RefSeq, a predicted model, not a curated record
AAAGGCGAAGUGCGUUAUGGUUGCUGUCAUGUGACACACGCCACCACAAGAAAGCGGAAACGCAUCGUAGAGCAAGAGCCAUGUGGGAUCCUUGCUCCUGAUAUCCUGAUGUAUGGGUUGCAUUUCAUUAUAUGACUCCAACAGAACACUCACAGAAAGGAGAGUGGUGUCAAACUACAAGACAGCCAGCAUGUUGUCAGCUGUUGUCAGGCUCAUCACCAAAGCAGAAAGACAUAGUGAGACCAGACAUGCCAGGAAGGAGCAAGGCACAGGCCAGGAAGGAGCAAGGCAAAGCCCAGGAAUUUUUCUGCAGCUGUUCCCGCCAGCUAUCGAAGGACUGCUCCUGAGAAUAGAUGGGUGUCUACAUUGUUUUGCAAAAUGGGUCUUCUACACAUGAUGCUUGUCAAGCACUGCUCAUUGACUGGUCACGGGUCCUCUGUAUUGUGGCCACUGGUCAAAGGCGGCACAUGACUGUCUCAGAGUCCUCUACAUCAUUCCGGUGACGGGACUUCUGGCCUAGCCUGACAGGAUGGGUCUUGUGUUACUGUGACCAGACAGCUCAACAAUGCGUCAUCGCUCAUCCAUGCCCUCAUCGCCUCAAGACUGGAGUACUACAACAGCAUUCUCUAUGGUCUUGAAAAAUAUUAUUGUCUUUAUUAUUAUUAUUAUUAUUAUUAUUAUUAUAAGUACAGGUCUCUCUGCACCCGAACCAGCAGGUUCAGAGGAAGCUUCUUUUCUGUAGCUGUCAUCCGACUGGACUGUAGCUCUGUAUCCCGGUGACAACCCAUCAACUAAGCCCCCAAUACCCUAUCCCACCCAUAGUGUUAUUUAUUUACAAAUGCACAUACUGUAAUUAUAAUUAUACAUAACCAUAUGCUACUGCUCUUCAUAUUAUCCAUCCUGAACAUACACUUCUUACUACUCUUAUAAUGUUACUGUAGCUGUACGUACUAUACAUAUCUGUGUAUAUGGUUCAUAUCUAAAUAUCAUAUUUAUUCUGUUUCUCAUAUGUUCUGUUAAUACACUGCACAACCCAUAUUUAUAUCUAAUUUAUAUGACUCUA